GUGGGGAAUCUUGCGCAAUGGACGAAAGUCUGACGCAGCCACGCCGCGUGAGUGAAGAAGGCCUUCGGGUUGUAAAGCUCUGUCGCCCGGGACGAAAAAUCAGUGGGUUAAUACCCCAUUGAUCUGACGGUACCGGGAAAGGAAGCACCGGCUAACUCCGUGCCAGCAGCCGCGGUAAUACGGAGGGUGCAAGCGUUGCUCGGAAUUAUUGGGCGUAAAGGGUAGGUAGGUGGUCUCGUUUGUCUGGGGUGAAAGCCUUGAGCUUAACUCAAGAAGUGCCCCAGAAACGGCGAGACUAGAGUCUUGGAGAGGGUCGUGGAAUUCCCGGUGUAGCGGUGAAAUGCGUAGAGAUCGGGAGGAACACCAGAGGCGAAGGCGGCGACCUGGACAAGUACUGACACUCAACUACGAAAGCGUGGGGAGCAAACAGG
RNAcentral lists this ribosomal RNA (431 nucleotides) under uncultured bacterium. RNAcentral describes it as "bacterial SSU rRNA". It matches the Rfam family "Bacterial small subunit ribosomal RNA", at positions 354 to 776 of the family's 1533-position model. The record is from RNAcentral.